CAAAGUCCCAUCCAGAUCUGACAUCAUGAGUUCUUUGAUCUGUGGUCUCUCCUGGCUCUUUCAUUCUAUAUUUCAUACCCCAACAUCUCUCCCAGCUCUGACAUUCUAUGCUCUCUUUUUCUGAACUCCAAGGAUGGAGAACCACACAACAGAAAGUUAUUAAGAAUGAGAAUCUAGAUAGGCAGCUGGGUGACUCAGUGGAUUGAGAGUCGGGCCUAGAGACAGGAGGUCCUAGGUUCAAAUCUAGCCUCAGACACUUCCCAGCUGUGUGACCCUGGGCAAGUAACUCGACCCUCAUUGCCUAGCCCUUACCACUCUUCUGCUUUGGAACCAAUACACAGUAUUGACUCCAAGAUGGAAGGUGAGAAUUAAAACAAAAAAGAAUGAGAAUCUAAAGUGAGAGUGAGAGUAACAUUGGAUUAGCUGACUACAAGAUCUAUGAAGGUCCAAUGGGACUUUACUAAUGACUUAGAGACUCUAAGUAUUUCCCUUUGUUUUCCCAUUGGUUGCCAGGUGAGUCUUAUUAUUGGGAGACAACCAAGCCCAUAAAGAGACUACCAUAGUCAUGGCAACAGCCACAGAUGACUUUAAAAUGCUUCUAUAGUAGAACAUAGAAUAUCAGAGCUGUUAGACACUGAACAUAACCUGAAUCCCAAAGUCCAUUGCUCUGAGAAUCUGUCCUCACUGGUGAAGCUCAGGGCCCUGUGCCUGAAUGAGGAGAAGGGCAGAGGUGAUGAGAGUGGGAGGAGAGUCAGUCUCGUACUUGUGCCUCCUCAGUUGUAUAACCACAUGCUCAAGAUGUGCGUGACAAACGUCAGACUAUUUGAAGACCACGAUCACUGGCCAAGGACAUGACCAGCCAUCUUGAAACUAACACAGACCACCAUAAUUGUUCUGCAGAAAUGAGCCUUAUAUGACCUUUCAUUAAGUCUAUUCCAAAUCUAAAUUUCUCCUCCACUUAUGUUACUAUACUUCAUUUGGAGAGUUUUUCAAAUGAACUUAACACUGAUUAGUCAUUCAGCAGAGCAUCAAUAAAAGUUUAGCAUGAAUGCCA
RNAcentral lists this long non-coding RNA (1054 nucleotides) under Monodelphis domestica (gray short-tailed opossum). RNAcentral's name for it is "lncRNA (ENSMODG00000036698.1)". The record is from RNAcentral. Lineage: Eukaryota; Metazoa; Chordata; Mammalia; Didelphimorphia; Didelphidae.